GAUAAACGCUGGCGGCGUGCAUGAGACAUGCAAGUCGAACGGACGAUCGAGGCUUGCUUCGAUCGUUAGUGGCGGACGGCUGAGUAACGCGUAGGUGACCUGCCCCGAAGUGGGGAAUAACUGCCCGAAAGGGUGGCUAAUACCGCAUGUGGUGGUGUGUUCAUUCACACCAGUAAAGCCGCAAGGCGCUUCGGGAGGGGCCUGCGUCCGAUUAGCUCGUUGGUGAGGUAACGGCUCACCAAGGCGACGAUCGGUAGGUGGUCUGAGAGGACGAUCACCCAGACUGGGACUGAGACACGGCCCAGACUCCUACGGGAGGCAGCAGUGGGGAAUAUUGCACAAUGGGCGAAAGCCUGAUGCAGCGACGCCGCGUGAGGGAUGACGGCCUUCGGGUUGUAAACCUCUUUUAUCAGGGAAGAUUAUGACGGUACCUGAUGAAUAAGUCACGGCUAACUACGUG
Molecule: ribosomal RNA, 460 nt
Filed under: uncultured bacterium
Lineage: Bacteria
Description: bacterial SSU rRNA
Rfam family: Bacterial small subunit ribosomal RNA
Source: RNAcentral